The sequence is a transfer RNA, 86 nucleotides long. It matches the Rfam family "tRNA". Rfam says of the family: Transfer RNA (tRNA) molecules are approximately 80 nucleotides in length. Their secondary structure includes four short double-helical elements and three loops (D, anti-codon, and T loops). The record is from Rfam.
GGGAGCGUACUCAAGUGGUUAAGAGGACACCCUGCUAAGGUGUUAGAUCGUUCUACGGUGCGUGGGUUCGAAUCCCACCGCUUCCG